UACGGGGGGGGCAAGCGUUGUUCGGAAUUACUGGGCGUAAAGGGCUCGUAGGUGGCCAACUAAGUCAUACGUGAAAUCCCUCGGCUCAACUGAGGAACUGCCUUUGAAACUGUCGGGCUUGAGGCCGGGAGGGGGUAGCGGAAUUCCCAGUGUAGCGGUGAAAUGCGUAGAUAUUGGGAGGAACACCAGUGGCGAAGGCGGCUACCUGGACCGGUUCUGACGCUGAUGCGCGAAAGCGUGGGGAGCGAACAGG
This 253-nucleotide ribosomal RNA is filed under the name uncultured bacterium. Its description in RNAcentral is "partial 16S ribosomal RNA". It matches the Rfam family "Bacterial small subunit ribosomal RNA", at positions 524 to 776 of the family's 1533-position model. The record is from RNAcentral.